GAUGAAGAACGCAGCGAAAUGCGAUAAGUAAUGUGAAUUGCAGAAUUCAGUGAAUCAUCGAAUCUUUGAACGCACCUUGCGCUCCUUGGUAUUCCGAGGAGCAUGCCUGUUUGAGUGUCAUUAAUAUAUCAACCUUCUCUUUUUUGAGUUGUUUGGAUGUGGGGAUUUGCUGGCCUCUUAAAUGAUUCAGCUCCCCUGAAAUGCAUUAGCAGAACAACCUGUUCAUUAGCGUGAUAAUUAUCUAUGCUAUUGAAUGUGAGGGCAGUUCAGCUUUCUAACCGUCCUUGGACAAUUCAUCAUUAAUGUGACCUCAAAUCAGGUAGGACUACCCGCUGAACUUAAGCAUAUCAAUAAGCGGAGGA
This 362-nucleotide unclassified non-coding RNA is filed under the name soil metagenome. Its description in RNAcentral is "partial contains 5.8S ribosomal RNA, internal transcribed spacer 2, and large subunit ribosomal RNA". The stretch from base 1 to 120 matches the Rfam family "5.8S ribosomal RNA", at positions 35 to 154 of the family's 154-position model. The record is from RNAcentral.